CUGGAUUGGUAUUAGCCCACCCUAAAAUUAUUUUGAGAUUUUGUAUUAUUAUUAUUUUUUUUAAUUAUUUUUUUUUAACCAAAUGCAGUAAAACAAUAAAUACGAGCCACCAAGGAGGCACGUUAAUCUGAACACAAGUUCCUGUUUGCUUAUUCAUUGUUUAAUACAAUUAUUAAUAUCGUGCCUAAAUAUUCCUCAUUGGCUCCGCGUUCAGUUUCACGUCACGUCACGUGGCACGCGGGCAUCAGCUGGACCAUUGUUGUGAUAGCAGAUGCUUUGCAGUGCAGCAUCGGAAGCGCGUCCUUUUAAACCCGAUGGGUAUACGAAAGUUUUUCAAAAAGCGAGAGGACACAGCAGAGGAGGAGGAGAGGAGAGAAGGAGGAGAAGAGGUUGAGGCAGAAAGACAGACAGUGGACGAGAGUGAGGAAGGGAGUCCAGGUUCAGAGGAGGUCGAACAAAUAGAUCUGCAGGGAGACAUAGAGGGAUCUGAGAAAGAGGCAGAAGGUGAACAAGCAGGCCACCAUGAGGAAGAAAAAGACCAAGCAGCUGCUGCUCCCCUUUGUGGUUUAGGUAACAAAGACACAGGUCCCAGGCAGGUGAAGCUGAAUAGCUAUCCACAGGAGAGCUUUGGUGCACAGAAAAGGGCAUUUAACCACAGCUGGUUUGCUAGGUACCAUUGGUUAGAGUACUCAGUUAGCCGGGAUGCUGCAUUCUGCUUCCCAUGUAGAGUGUUUGGAAAAAACAUUAGAAAUGACACUUUCAUUAGCAGUGGUUGCAGACAGUGGAAGAAAGCUUUGGCUUUCUUCAACAAGCAUGACUCUGCACAGUCCCACAAGGACAGUGUAGCAGCAUGGAGGGGGUACCAGGCAACCUCCCAGCAUGAUUAUGAAUGGCGAACCACUUGCCCUCUUCCAUUGCAUUGUUUACUCUUGUUAUUUAGCAUAUUUUAACAGGUGUAGUUCAGCUGGUGAAGUAACAUUAGUGAGCAAUUUAAAUAAUGAAAGCUAAUUUUCAAUAGAAUAGAAUUGGGAAGUGAUUCUCAGGUAUGAUGCUCUUAAAAUUAUGAAUUUAUAGACAUCGCCUUCGCAAGUGAACUCAAAAAAAUU
Engraulis encrasicolus (European anchovy) is the source of this 1106-nucleotide long non-coding RNA. RefSeq lists it as uncharacterized. NCBI's taxonomy places the organism in Eukaryota, Metazoa, Chordata, Actinopteri, Clupeiformes, Engraulidae. The record is from RefSeq and is a predicted model, not a curated record. The transcript is spliced from 3 exons.